This 539-nucleotide unclassified non-coding RNA is filed under the name Hevea brasiliensis (rubber tree). Lineage: Eukaryota; Viridiplantae; Streptophyta; Magnoliopsida; Malpighiales; Euphorbiaceae. The record is from RNAcentral.
CAUGGGUAGAACUCAUGCAUCUACAAUUCAUGCUCUUAACUAUCACCACACGCUGUAUGCAAGGUCCUAAAAACCAGCGGGACAAAAGACUUUACUGCUGAAUUCAGCAUUCAUUACAUGUUUUCAUAGUCAUUUUAUGUUUUCAUGGUCAUUUUAUAAAUUCUUGCUCUCACAAGAGCCUCACUUAUACUGGAGAUGCAAUGAUAAGCGCUAUAAUAGCUGUGCUAAUACAAGAAUCUCAGUGCUUAUAAUUUGCUGUUCAUAAAGGAUACCGAGAUAGUGGAAUUGUCCAAUCCAAUCCCUACAAAAUCUUUCAGCGCUAUGAGCUGAUCUCCUUCUAUAGUUUCGUGAUUAGUUACAACGGUCGUGCUGGUGGAAAUGAUAAUAGAGCAGGAAACCAGCAAUUAAUAUUGCAGAACACAUAACAAAGAAAGAUACACGAGCAUGUUCAGAACUAAUUUAGUUGAUCCUGAAAUCCAAAUUCCCUUUCAAUGGCAAAUUCAAAAUCACACCAAACAAGUAUCAAUAUUGCAAUGGAU